CUUUCAGGCACAGUUUGAUAUAGGGGCCCAAAUGACGCCAAAGAACCCAGGAGCCUCAUCAGCUUGGAUUUGUACCCUCAAAUGUCGGUUUCUUUCUCUGCAGAUUUUCCUCUUACAACAGCGCUGCUGCCACAGUUUCAGACUUUGUACUGUCACAGCUCCAAAUUCACAGUGUAUAUCGACUUACUGCUGCCCAGGGAAGCCUGAAGAAGUCAACCAGGUCUGCAGAACCGGGCAGCAAUUACCUGGAGAGAAGGGGCCAUGAAAGCAGAGAUGGCAAAGAGAGAGGCCAACAAUUCCCAGAAGACCCAGAGAAGUAGCCAGGGUUGGCCAACCAGGAGCAGGGUGGAGAUCAGGGAAGUCUGCAGCAGCUCUCAGUGUAAGUUCUGGCUUCUCUAGCCCUGCCUAUCCUCCUUUCAUACCUUGGCCCCCUAAGACCUUCACUUUGGGGAAACUACCCAUAGACUGGGGUUCUUUCUCUACCUCCCUCUCCUUUCUAGCCCUUUUCUCUGUAGGGUCUGUAGAAAUUUCUACCUGAAGGGUCAUCUCAAGGGGUCUGCAUCCCUCUCCCUCAAGUCCAUUUGACUUAGCCUCUCUGGGAUAACUCUUCCUGGAAAGCGAAGCAGUGAGUGGUUCUAAAGAAGUGAGCGCAGAACCUGAACAAGCGAUUCAUUCCAGCAGAUGCUCAGAGAUCAAACAUCUUUGCCACAUGCUGCUUAUGAGAUGGUUAAAAUCCAGCAACUCCCCAGUCAGUAGAAGUGUGCUUUACAAAGGCUCAGAG
Molecule: long non-coding RNA, 781 nt
Filed under: Callithrix jacchus (white-tufted-ear marmoset)
Lineage: Eukaryota; Metazoa; Chordata; Mammalia; Primates; Cebidae
Description: lncRNA (ENSCJAG00000083663.1)
Source: RNAcentral